GACGAACGCUGGCGGCGUGCUUAAUACAUGCAAGUCGAGCGGAAAGACGCGGAGCUUGCCUCUCUGACGUAAGCGGCGGAUAGGUGAGUAAUAAGUGGAUAACCUACCUAUAAGAAUGGGAUGAAUUGGGGAAAACGACGCUAAACCAGGCUAAUAUAUUGAACGGCAUGGUUCAAUAGUGAUAGGCGGUUUUGCUGUUCCUUAUAGAUGGAUUCGCGCCGGAUUGGCUAGUUGGUAAGGUAACGGCUUACCAAGGGAACGAUGCGGAGCCGACCGGAGAGGGUGAUCGGCCACCCUGGAACUGGAACACGGUCCAGACUCCUACGGGAGGCCGCAGUAGGGAAUCUUCCGCAGCGGGCGAAAGCCUUGCGCAGCGACGCCACGUGAGUGAUAAAGGUCUUCGGAUCGUAAAACUCGGUUAUGAGUGAUAAACAAAUGUCUAAGGAACUAAGCACUUCUUGACGGUACCUAAUCAGAAAGCGACGGCUAACUACGUG
RNAcentral lists this ribosomal RNA (497 nucleotides) under uncultured bacterium. RNAcentral's name for it is "partial 16S ribosomal RNA". It matches the Rfam family "Bacterial small subunit ribosomal RNA", at positions 28 to 507 of the family's 1533-position model. The record is from RNAcentral.